CGGCAGCUGAAAUGAGAGAGGGUCAUCGGCCGGUGCCACAGAGGACGGGCCCAACCUGGACGCGACUUGGAGGUUGGCGGCGGCUCGAUCCACUCCUGGAUCGGGAGCUGCGACGAGGCUGGGGCUCGGGCGCGUUGUACGGGAGGCUGCACUCCGCCUCUUCCUCAUGGUGCGGCGGACGACGGCUCUUGCGGUCGUGCGGCUGACGGCGGCCUUGGUUUGCUGCUUCGUUAGCUCUUCUUCUUCACUUCCUUAAUUCCCAGGACAACCAUUUUGUUGCUUCCUGUACAAAUAGAGUGUGUUAGACUUUCUCUUUGUUUGUCUCAUCCCCUUCUUAAGUGACUGGUUCCUGCACGGUUAUUGGCUUCUCCAAUGGAUCAUGUAGGUAGAAACUAAAAAGAACUGGAUAAUUUCUUUUUCCCUUCUUUUAAUUUCAAUAGGAUUCCCGAGUUCAGAAUUGACAAUUCAUAUCAGUAUUCGGUAUAGAGCAGAUCAAUUGAUUUUCAUAAAAACGCAUAUUAGAAUUAUCAUUGGAUUGGUUUUCAAGUGCCUUUAUUAGACAUAUAGUGCAGAGGGAGUAAAUUAGUUUCACAGAAUGUUUCCUUGGAUUUUAGUUGCACUUCAUUCUGUUGUUUCGGUCUUUGUACAUUCAGAUGCUUUUUAAUUCAAAAGGAAACAACUCACAGAGGUUAUGUACGGGAGGCUACACUCUGCCUCUUCCUCAUGGUGCGGCGGACGGCGGCUCUUGCGGUCGUGUGCUGACGACGGCCUCAGCGGGUGGGCGGCCAGUGGCGGUGCCAGGGGUUAGCUGUGUAGGCAACUGACUACACAACAUUUUGGCAUGCAUUAGUAGACAUCAAGCAAAAACCAGUUUUCACACAAGCAUAAGUAUUUGACAUCACAACUUUAAAUUGACAUCACAACGUUGAACUCUUGGCUUCGCCACUGUGGGCGACUACACUUGCAGCUGGCGCUCUACCCAUGGAUUCCGGCAUUAGCUCGAAACGCUCAGGACGAAUUAGGUCUCGGCCAAUGGUGGAGAAGACGGAGUACAGGGAUGAGCCGCUCGAGCACUGUUUGAUGGGAUGUUCGCACGCAAGAUGCAGAAGUUCGCCAGAAGGAAGAAGAGCUGGGCGUCGAGGAGGAGAAGAAGGUGGUAUGCGAGGUGCUUGCAGGCCCAGCAGCAGGAGGCCGUCCUUGAGGUGCUCCUGUGGAUGGUCCAUUCCGGCGCUGGGCCUACGUGUUCAAUGCUGCCCUCACCAUCCCCUUCUUCCAUUGGCUCAUCGGCCCGUCAGAGUUAUUGAGGUGGAGGUCAACGGGGUGAGGCAGAGAAGUGGAGUGCUCAUAAAGAAACGAAGGAGCAACUGUUGCUAUUGGGACUGGUGCUUGUGCAGUUGUUGCAGCUGUUCUUGAGGGCCGAGCUGAACAUAUUUGAAAAAGGAUAUUCUGACACCUAAUAAGGAUCAAGAAAACAACAGAGAUGCUAAGAGGCAACCUUUUGGGGUUAAGGAUAUAAACAACAGGGCUUAUGAGACCGAAGAGAGCUCAAGUGGUGUCUUUUGAUUCUUGAAGGCCUGCACUUUCCUGGUGGAGUAGCAACAAAAUAAUUCAGAGGCUUUAAAGCUAAUGCACUUCACGUAGUUAGGAUCAAUUCUUUGUUUCGGUUUGAAAUACUCCCCAGUUCCUCCUAUUUGAUUGAUUCAUCUGAUGGACAUUUUGUCAGGCAAAUAUUAGGCAAAGGAUAUGUACCUUUUUUUAAUAUAGAAGGGUCUAAUUCUUAUCGUGCGUACUUGCUCAAA
This is a long non-coding RNA of Triticum dicoccoides, 1799 nucleotides long. RefSeq lists it as uncharacterized. The transcript has 5 exons. The record is from RefSeq and is a predicted model, not a curated record. NCBI's taxonomy places the organism in Eukaryota, Viridiplantae, Streptophyta, Magnoliopsida, Poales, Poaceae.